CUUGUACUCCCUCCGUCCCAUAGUAAGUGACUUUCUAUUAUGUGUAUCUAGACAUAUUUUAGUAUAUAAAUACGUUCAUAUUUAGACAAAUUUGAGUCACUUAAUAUGGGAUGGAGGGAGUAUGAU
This is a non-coding RNA of Brachypodium distachyon (stiff brome), 126 nucleotides long. Lineage: Eukaryota; Viridiplantae; Streptophyta; Magnoliopsida; Poales; Poaceae. The record is from Rfam.